GGAUGUGAGGUUGAUAUGGCCAUGACAUCUGUCACACCAUUAAUCUGCCAGGGUUGGUUCGGCUGAUCUGGCUGUCUAGGUGGGUGUCCCUCACCACUCCAUGUGUCUCCCUCCCAAAGCUGUGCACUCCAAAGAAGAGGACAACCUUCCCCCAAUAGAGCAGGACCAGUCUUUGCUCAAGGGUAUAAGAAUAGCUGUGCUCCUCUGCUAGAACCUCCAAACAAGCUCUCAAGGAAAAUUGUAGAGUGAAUUGUCUUCCCUAAAAUUCAUGUGUUGAAAUAUCAGCUAUCAGAGCAUU
Molecule: unclassified non-coding RNA, 298 nt
Organism: Cricetulus griseus (Chinese hamster)
Lineage: Eukaryota; Metazoa; Chordata; Mammalia; Rodentia; Cricetidae
Gene: 7SK
Rfam family: 7SK RNA
About the family: 7SK was discovered as an abundant small nuclear RNA in the mid-70s but a possible function has only recently been suggested. Two independent studies have found that 7SK RNA binds the CDK9/cyclin T complex (known as elongation factor P-TEFb).
Source: Ensembl